ACAAAUGGCCAUGCCACCUUGAACACUCCCGAUCUCAUCUGAUCUGGGAAGCUAAGCAGGAUCAGGUCUAGUACUUGGAUGGGAGACCACCUAUGAAUACCAGGCGCUGUAGGUG
RNAcentral lists this ribosomal RNA (115 nucleotides) under Pteropus alecto (black flying fox). The record is from RNAcentral. Lineage: Eukaryota; Metazoa; Chordata; Mammalia; Chiroptera; Pteropodidae.